Molecule: ribosomal RNA, 503 nt
Filed under: uncultured bacterium
Lineage: Bacteria
Description: partial 16S ribosomal RNA
Rfam family: Bacterial small subunit ribosomal RNA
Source: RNAcentral
AUUGAACGCUGGCGGCAGGCUUAACACAUGCAAGUCGAGCGGGGUGAUGGUGCUUGCACUAUCACUUAGCGGCGGACGGGUGAGUAAUGCUUAGGAAUCUGCCUAUUAGUGGGGGACAACAUCUCGAAAGGGAUGCUAAUACCGCAUACGUCCUACGGGAGAAAGCAGGGGAUCACUUGUGACCUUGCGCUAAUAGAUGAGCCUAAGUCGGAUUAGCUAGUUGGUGGGGUAAAGGCCUACCAAGGCGACGAUCUGUAGCGGGUCUGAGAGGAUGAUCCGCCACACGGGGACUGAGACACGGCCCAGACUCCUACGGGAGGCAGCAGUGGGGAAUAUUGGACAAUGGGGGGAACCCUGAUCCAGCCAUGCCGCGUGUGUGAAGAAGGCCUUAUGGUUGUAAAGCACUUUAAGCGAGGAGGAGGCUCUUUUGGUUAAUACCCAGAAUGAGUGGACGUUACUCGCAGAAUAAGCACCGGCUAACUCUGUGCCAGCCGCCGCAGUAA